Triticum aestivum (bread wheat) is the source of this 87-nucleotide non-coding RNA. The record is from Rfam. NCBI's taxonomy places the organism in Eukaryota, Viridiplantae, Streptophyta, Magnoliopsida, Poales, Poaceae.
GGAUGGAUGUCUGAGCGGUUGAAAGAGUCGGUCUGGAAAACCGAAGUAUUGAUAGGAAUACCGAGGGAUCGAAUCCCUCUCCAUCCG